This 501-nucleotide ribosomal RNA is filed under the name uncultured bacterium. Its description in RNAcentral is "partial 16S ribosomal RNA". It matches the Rfam family "Bacterial small subunit ribosomal RNA", at positions 30 to 523 of the family's 1533-position model. The record is from RNAcentral.
AUUGAACGCUGGCGGCAGGCUUAACACAUGCAAGUCGAGCGGAGCGAGGGUGCUUGCACCUUAGCUUAGCGGCGGACGGGUGAGUAAUGCUUAGGAAUCUGCCUAUUAGUGGGGGACAACAUUCCGAAAGGGAUGCUAAUACCGCAUACGCCCUACGGGGGAAAGCAGGGGAUCUUCGGACCUUGCGCUAAUAGAUGAGCCUAAGUCGGAUUAGCUAGUUGGUGGGGUAAAGGCCUACCAAGGCGACGAUCUGUAGCGGGUCUGAGAGGAUGAUCCGCCACACUGGGACUGAGACACGGCCCAGACUCCUACGGGAGGCAGCAGUGGGGAAUAUUGGACAAUGGGCGGAAGCCUGAUCCAGCCAUGCCGCGUGUGUGAAGAAGGCCUUUUGGUUGUAAAGCACUUUAAGCGAGGAGGAGGCUACUAGUAUUAAUACUACUGGAUAGUGGACGUUACUUGCAGAAUAAGCACCGGCUAACUCUGUGCCAGCAGCCGCCGUAA